AUACGGAGGAUCCGAGCGUUAUCCGGAUUUAUUGGGUUUAAAGGGUGCGCAGGCGGGAGAUUAAGUCGGCGGUGAAAUUUUGCAGCUCAACUGUAAAAGUGCCUUCGAAACUGGUUUCCUUGAGUGUAGAUGAAGUAGGCGGAAUUUGUGGUGUAGCGGUGAAAUGCAUAGAUAUCACGAGGAAAUCCGAUUGCGCAGGCAGCUUACUAAACUACGACUGACGCUCAGGCACGAAGGCGUGGGAUCAAACAGGAUUAGAUACCCUGGUAGUCCACGCAGUAAACGAUGAUUACUAGCUGUUUGCGAUACAAUGUAAGCGGCUGAGCGAAAGCGUUAAGUAAUCCACCUGGGGAGUACGUUCGCAAGAAUGAAACUCAAAUGAAUUGACGGGG
Molecule: ribosomal RNA, 392 nt
Filed under: uncultured bacterium
Lineage: Bacteria
Description: partial 16S ribosomal RNA
Rfam family: Bacterial small subunit ribosomal RNA
Source: RNAcentral